Molecule: ribosomal RNA, 465 nt
Filed under: uncultured bacterium
Lineage: Bacteria
Description: partial 16S ribosomal RNA
Rfam family: Bacterial small subunit ribosomal RNA
Source: RNAcentral
CCUACGGGAGGCAGCAGUGGGGAAUAUUGCGCAAUGGGCGCAAGCCUGAUGCAGCGAUGCCGCGUGUGGGAUGCAGGUCUUCGGAUCGUAAACCUCUGUCAGCAGGGAAGAACGGUCACUGGUCUAUUCAGCAGUUAAUUGACGGUACCUGCAAAGGAAGCACCGGCUAACUCCGUGCCAGCAGCCGCGGUAAUACGGAGGGUGCGAGCGUUAAUCGGAAUUACUGGGCGUAAAGCGCUCGUAGGCGGUCUGUCAAGUCAGGGGUGAAAUCCCCGCGCUCAACGUGGGAACUGCCUUUGAAACUGGCAAACUGGAGUGUCUGAGAGGCUAGUGGAAUUCCAGGUGUAGCAGUGAAAUGCGUAGAGAUCUGGAGGAACAUCAGUGGCGAAGGCGACUAUCUGGCACAUAACUGACGCUGAGGUGCGAAAGCGUGGGUAGCAAACAGGAUUAGAUACCCUUGUAGUC